Molecule: unclassified non-coding RNA, 21 nt
Filed under: Dictyostelium discoideum
Lineage: Eukaryota; Evosea; Eumycetozoa; Dictyosteliales; Dictyosteliaceae
Source: RNAcentral
UUGAGUCAGGAGUAAUAAUGA